ACAAUAGAAGGAUUCUGUAUUAACGGUGGACAUGAUUUAUCUCGUUUUUAAAGAUAUCUUUGCAUUUCAUAUGAGAUUUAAAGUUUUUAUUGGUAAUAUAAAUCUCACAUGAAAUUUAAAUUUAUAUUUUAAAGUUAAGAUAAAGUCAUGUCACCGUUAAUACAGAAUCCUUCAAUUAUAUUUAGUCAGGGG
Molecule: microRNA precursor, 192 nt
Filed under: Arachis hypogaea (peanut)
Lineage: Eukaryota; Viridiplantae; Streptophyta; Magnoliopsida; Fabales; Fabaceae
Description: miR3514 stem-loop (ahy-MIR3514)
Source: miRBase by way of RNAcentral